CCUACGGGUGGCAGCAGUGAGGAAUAUUGGUCAAUGGGAGAGAUCCUGAACCAGCCAAGCCGCGUGAGGGAAGACGGCCCUAUGGGUUGUAACCCUCUUUUGUCGGAGAACAAAACCCGGGACGUGUCCCGGACUGCGUGUAUCCGAAGAAAAAGCAUCGGCUAACUCCGUGCCAGCAGCCGCGGUAAUACGGAGGAUGCGAGCUUUAUCCGGUUUUAUUGGGUUUAAAGGGUGCGUGGGCGGUCCGUUAAGUCAGCGGUAAAAUUGCGGGGCUCAACCCCGUCGAGCCGUUGAAACUGGCAGACUGGAGUGGGCAAGCAGUAGGCGGAAGGCGCGGUGUAGCGGUGAAAUGCAUAGAUAUCGCGCAGAACUCCGAUUGCGAAGGCAGCGCACCGGGGCGAGAUUGACGCUGAGGCACGAAAGCGUGGGGAUCGAACAGGAUUAGAUACCCGGGUAGUC
Molecule: ribosomal RNA, 459 nt
Filed under: uncultured bacterium
Lineage: Bacteria
Description: partial 16S ribosomal RNA
Rfam family: Bacterial small subunit ribosomal RNA
Source: RNAcentral